Molecule: small nucleolar RNA, 141 nt
Organism: Pseudophryne corroboree (corroboree frog)
Lineage: Eukaryota; Metazoa; Chordata; Amphibia; Anura; Myobatrachidae
Product: small nucleolar RNA SNORD94
Exons: 1
Source: RefSeq, a predicted model, not a curated record
GUGGCAAUGAUGAGUUGCGCAGGGGUACGGACCUCGGCUACAUCAUGGGAGCCGAAUGCAGGUCUGGCUUAUCUAAGAUUGCUGACAUGUAGUUGGCUGCUUGGAACAGGCCUGUAUGACAUUGCUGCCCAACUGAGCCAC